GCCCGCCGGAGACCCCAACACGAACACUGUCUGAAAGCGUGCAGUCUGAGUUGAUUGAAUGCAAUCAGUUAAAACUUUCAACAAUGGAUCUCUUGGUUCCGGCAUCGAUGAAGAACGCAGCGAAAUGCGAUAACUAAUGUGAAUUGCAGAAUUCAGUGAAUCAUCGAGUCUUUGAACGCACAUUGCGCCCCCUGGUAUUCCGGGGGGCAUGCCUGUCCGAGCGUCAUUGCUGCCCUCAAGCCCGGCUUGUGUGUUGGGUCGCCGUCCCCCUCUCCGGGGGGACGGGCCCGAAAGGCAGCGGCGGCACCGCGUCCGAUCCUCGAGCGUAUGGGGCUUUGUCACAUGCUCUGUAGGAUUGGCCGGCGCCUGCCGACGUUUUCCAACCAUUCUUUCCAGGUUGACCUCGGAUCAGGUAGGGAUACCCGCUGAACUUAAGCAUA
RNAcentral lists this ribosomal RNA (440 nucleotides) under Aspergillus niger. Its description in RNAcentral is "eukaryotic LSU rRNA". The stretch from base 73 to 226 matches the Rfam family "5.8S ribosomal RNA". The record is from RNAcentral. Lineage: Eukaryota; Fungi; Ascomycota; Eurotiomycetes; Eurotiales; Aspergillaceae.